Molecule: ribosomal RNA, 507 nt
Filed under: uncultured bacterium
Lineage: Bacteria
Description: bacterial SSU rRNA
Rfam family: Bacterial small subunit ribosomal RNA
Source: RNAcentral
AACACAUGCAAGUCGAACGGGGUAGCAAUACCCAGUGGCAGACGGGUGAGUAACACGUGGUCAACCUACCUCUGUGUGGGGGAUAACUAGCCGAAAGGUUAGCUAAUACCGCAUACGAUCGUUUUGGGGCAUCUCGAGACGAUGAAAGGAGCAAUCCGCACGGAGAGGGGACUGCGUCCCAUUAGUUAGUUGGUGGGGUAACGGCCUACCAAGACUCCGAUGGGUAGCUGGCUUGAGAGAGCGACCAGCCACACUGGAACUGAGACACGGUCCAGACUCCUACGGGAGGCAGCAGUGAGGAAUUUUCCGCAAUGGGCGAAAGCCUGACGGAGCGACGCCGCGUGUGGGAAGAAGGCCUUCGGGUCGUAAACCACUGUCGAAGGGGACGAUAUUGACGGUACCCUUGGAGGAAGCCCCGGCUAACUACGUGCCAGCAGCCGCGGUAAGACGUAUGGGGCAAGCGUUGUCCGGAAUUAUUGGGCGUAAAGCGCUCGUAGGUGGAUUGAC